UUCAAGUACUUUGUAGCUUCCAAUAAUGGAUCUUCAACCUGCAAUAACUUUUCCCCACUCGGAUCUGGAUCUACAGGUUUGGCAUGCCGCUUUCCUGACUUGGAGAUGCCACUAGCACUUGAUUCUUCGUUCUUUACCUCUGCCUCUCUCUUAGCUCGAGCUUCCGCCUUUUUCUGUUUUUGUCUCAUUUUCUUUUUCUGAGAAGGCAGCAACUUUGACAUUUCAUCAUC
This 230-nucleotide unclassified non-coding RNA is filed under the name Hevea brasiliensis (rubber tree). Lineage: Eukaryota; Viridiplantae; Streptophyta; Magnoliopsida; Malpighiales; Euphorbiaceae. The record is from RNAcentral.